CACGUAGGGGGCAAGCGUUGUCCGGAUUUAUUGGGCGUAAAGAGCUCGUAGGUGGUUCGGUAAGUCGGGUGUUAAACCCCCAGGCUCAACCUGGGGACGCCACUCGAUACUGCUGUGACUAGAGUCCGGUAGGGGAGCGUGGAAUUCCUGGUGUAGCGGUGAAAUGCGCAGAUAUCAGGAGGAACACCAGCGGCGAAGGCGGGUUGCUGGGCUGACACUGACGCUGAGGCGCGAAAGCUAGGGGAGCGAACGGG
This 254-nucleotide ribosomal RNA is filed under the name uncultured bacterium. Its description in RNAcentral is "partial 16S ribosomal RNA". It matches the Rfam family "Bacterial small subunit ribosomal RNA", at positions 524 to 776 of the family's 1533-position model. The record is from RNAcentral.